UGUUUUAGUCUAGUUAGAGGAACCUGUUUUAUAAACGAUAUAACACGCAUUAUUUUACUUAUUUUAGUUAAUCAGCUUGUAUACCGUCAUUAUAAGAUAAUUUAGGAGAAAAUAUUAUUGGAAUCAUAUUAUUGAGUAUAUUAGAUCAAGGUGCAGCUUAUAAAUAAGUAAAUAUGGGUUACAAUAAAAUUUGUUUAAUAUGAAUUAAGUAUUUAAAUAUAUUUAUGAAGGAGGAUUUAAUUGUAAGAAAAGGAGUAGUGAGAUUUUUUGAUAUAAGCUCUAAAUUAU
Molecule: ribosomal RNA, 288 nt
Filed under: Procambarus clarkii (red swamp crayfish)
Lineage: Eukaryota; Metazoa; Arthropoda; Malacostraca; Decapoda; Cambaridae
Description: partial 12S ribosomal RNA
Source: RNAcentral